This 73-nucleotide transfer RNA is filed under the name Cordylochernes scorpioides. RNAcentral describes it as "tRNA-Thr". Lineage: Eukaryota; Metazoa; Arthropoda; Arachnida; Pseudoscorpiones; Chernetidae. The record is from RNAcentral.
GUCCAGGGAUGUGAAUCGAACCCACAAUGUUCCGCUUACCGGGCAGAUGCCAUGUCCACUAGGCUACCCUGGA